This 291-nucleotide ribosomal RNA is filed under the name uncultured bacterium. RNAcentral's name for it is "partial 16S ribosomal RNA". It matches the Rfam family "Bacterial small subunit ribosomal RNA", at positions 773 to 1060 of the family's 1533-position model. The record is from RNAcentral.
GUGGAUUAGAUACCCUGGUAGUCCACGCCGUAAACGAUGGAUGCUAGCCGUUGGCGAGCUUGCUCGUCAGUGGCGCAGCUAACGCUUUAAGCAUCCCGCCUGGGGAGUACGGUCGCAAGAUUAAAACUCAAAGGAAUUGACGGGGGCCCGCACAAGCGGUGGAGCAUGUGGUUCAAUUCGAAGCAACGCGAAGAACCUUACCAGCCCUUGACAUCCCGGUCGCGGAGCGCAGAGACGCACUCCUUCAGUUCGGCUGGACCGGAGACAGGUGCUGCACGGCCGUCGCCAGCU